CGUGAAAUUGUUGAAAGGGAAACGCUUGAAGUCAGUCGCGUUAUCUGGGGAUCAGCCUUCCUUUUGGUUGGUGUACUUCCCAGUUGACGGGUCAGCAUCAGUUUUGACCAGUGGAUAAAAGCUAGAGGAAUGUGGCAUCUUCGGGUGUGUUAUAGCCUCUGGUUGUAUACAUUGGUUGGGACUGAGGAACUCAGCACGCCGCAAGGCCGGGUUUUUAACCACGUUCGUGCUUAGGAUGCUGGCAUAAUGGC
Molecule: ribosomal RNA, 251 nt
Filed under: Collybiopsis melanopus
Lineage: Eukaryota; Fungi; Basidiomycota; Agaricomycetes; Agaricales; Omphalotaceae
Description: Gymnopus melanopus partial large subunit ribosomal RNA
Source: RNAcentral